GAUGAAGAACGUAGCGAAAUGCGAUACGUAAUGUGAAUUGCAGAAUUCAGUGAAUCAUCGAGUCUUUGAACGCACAUUGCGCCCCCUGGUAUUCCGGAGGGCAUGCCUGUCCGAGCGUCAUUGCUGCCCUCAAGCACGGCUUGUGUGUUGGGCUCCGUCCCCCGAUCCCGGGGGACGGGCCCGAAAGGCAGCGGCGGCACCGCGUCCGGUCCUCGAGCGUAUGGGGCUUUGUCACCCGCUCUGUAGGCCCGGCCGGCGCUUGCCGAUCAACCAAAUUUUUAUCCAGGUUGACCUCGGAUCAGGUAGGGAUACCCGCUGAACUUAAGCAUAUCAAUAAGCGGAGGA
This 345-nucleotide unclassified non-coding RNA is filed under the name soil metagenome. RNAcentral's name for it is "partial contains 5.8S ribosomal RNA, internal transcribed spacer 2, and large subunit ribosomal RNA". The stretch from base 1 to 120 matches the Rfam family "5.8S ribosomal RNA", at positions 35 to 154 of the family's 154-position model. The record is from RNAcentral.